UUUCUUUUAGUGUAAUGCACAGGAAGAUUUGAAUUUCCUAGAAAUUAAUUUAAUUAAAGAAAA
RNAcentral lists this transfer RNA (63 nucleotides) under Succinea erythrophana. RNAcentral's name for it is "tRNA-Gln". Lineage: Eukaryota; Metazoa; Mollusca; Gastropoda; Stylommatophora; Succineidae. The record is from RNAcentral.